CGAGGCAGAAAUGCGUAGUCGAUGGGAAACGGGUUAAUAUUCCCGUACUGGUGAUAAUUGCGAUGGGGGGACGGAGAAGGCUAGGCUGGCCGGGCGACGGUUGUCCCGGUUUAAGGAUGUAGGCAGGUGAAUUAGGCAAAUCCGGUUCACUACAUGCUGAGGUCUGAUGACGAGUCACUACGGUGGCGAAGUAGCUCAUGCCCCGCUUCCAGGAAAAGCCUCUAAGCUCUAGAUUAUCACUAAUCGUACCCCAAACCGACACAGGUGGUCAGGUAGAGAAUACUCAGGCGCUUG
This 294-nucleotide ribosomal RNA is filed under the name Vibrio parahaemolyticus. RNAcentral's name for it is "partial 23S ribosomal RNA". It matches the Rfam family "Bacterial large subunit ribosomal RNA", at positions 1397 to 1692 of the family's 2925-position model. Lineage: Bacteria; Pseudomonadati; Pseudomonadota; Gammaproteobacteria; Vibrionales; Vibrionaceae. The record is from RNAcentral.